RNAcentral lists this ribosomal RNA (118 nucleotides) under Lepisosteus oculatus (spotted gar). The record is from RNAcentral. Lineage: Eukaryota; Metazoa; Chordata; Actinopteri; Semionotiformes; Lepisosteidae.
GCCAGCAGCCAUAUCACCCUGCAACUCCCAGCUGGCAGCCCACUGGAGCUCAGCAGGGGUGAGCCUGGUCAGUACCUGGAUGGGAGACUCCUGGGAAAAACUAAGGCUGCUGCUGGAA